UGGGGAAUUUUGGACAAUGGGCGAAAGCCUGAUCCAGCAAUGCCGCGUGUGUGAAGAAGGCCUUCGGGUUGUAAAGCACUUUUGUCCGGAAAGAAAUCCUUGGCUCUAAUACAGUCGGGGGAUGACGGUACCGGAAGAAUAAGCACCGGCUAACUACGUGCCAGCAGCCGCGGUAAUACGUAGGGUGCAAGCGUUAAUCGGAAUUACUGGGCGUAAAGCGUGCGCAGGCGGUUUGCUAAGACCGAUGUGAAAUCCCCGGGCUCAACCUGGGAACUGCAUUGGUGACUGGCAGGCUAGAGUAUGGCAGAGGGGGGUAGAAUUCCACGUGUAGCAGUGAAAUGCGUAGAGAUGUGGAGGAAUACCGAUGGCGAAGGCAGCCCCCUGGGGCCAAAUACUGACGCUCAUGCACGAAAAGCGUGGGGGAGCAAAACAGGAUUAGAUACCCUGGUAGUCCACGCCCUAAAACGAUGUCAACUAGUUGUUGGGGGAUUCAUUUCCUUAGUAACGUAGCUAACGCGUGAAGUUGACCGCCUGGGGAGUACGGUCGCAAGAUUAAAACUUAAAUGAAUUGACGGGGUCAUAGCUG
Molecule: ribosomal RNA, 586 nt
Filed under: uncultured bacterium
Lineage: Bacteria
Description: partial 16S ribosomal RNA
Rfam family: Bacterial small subunit ribosomal RNA
Source: RNAcentral